This 28-nucleotide small RNA is filed under the name Bombyx mori (domestic silkworm). RNAcentral describes it as "ovarian small RNA-10099". Lineage: Eukaryota; Metazoa; Arthropoda; Insecta; Lepidoptera; Bombycidae. The record is from RNAcentral.
AAAGUGCAUAGGUUAGCACGUCACCUUU